This 253-nucleotide ribosomal RNA is filed under the name uncultured bacterium. Its description in RNAcentral is "partial 16S ribosomal RNA". It matches the Rfam family "Bacterial small subunit ribosomal RNA", at positions 524 to 776 of the family's 1533-position model. The record is from RNAcentral.
UACAGAGGGUGCGAGCGUUAAUCGGAAUUACUGGGCGUAAAGCGUGCGUAGACGGUUAUCUAAGUCGGAUGUGAAAGCCCCGGGCUCAACCUGGGAAUUGCAUUCGAGACUGAAUAGCUAGGGUGCGGUAGAGGGAAGCGGAAUUUCCGGUGUAGCGGUGAAAUGCGUAGAUAUCGGAAGGAACGUCAGUGGCGAAAGCGGCUUCCUGGACCAGCACCGACGUUCAGGCACGAAAGCGUGGGGAGCAAACAGG